This 378-nucleotide ribosomal RNA is filed under the name Salmonella enterica subsp. enterica. RNAcentral's name for it is "bacterial SSU rRNA". The record is from RNAcentral. Lineage: Bacteria; Pseudomonadati; Pseudomonadota; Gammaproteobacteria; Enterobacterales; Enterobacteriaceae.
UCCUACGGGAGGCAGCAGUGGGGAAUAUUGCACAAUGGGCGCAAGCCUGAUGCAGCCAUGCCGCGUGUAUGAAGAAGGCCUUCGGGUUGUAAAGUACUUUCAGCGGGGAGGAAGGUGUUGYGGUUAAUAACCRCAGCAAUUGACGUUACCCGCAGAAGAAGCACCGGCUAACUCCGUGCCAGCAGCCGCGGUAAUACGGAGGGUGCAAGCGUUAAUCGGAAUUACUGGGCGUAAAGCGCACGCAGGCGGUCUGUCAAGUCGGAUGUGAAAUCCCCGGGCUCAACCUGGGAACUGCAUUCGAAACUGGCAGGCURGAGUCUUGUAGAGGGGGGUAGAAUUCCAGGUGUAGCGGUGAAAUGCGUAGAGAUCUGGAGGAAU